This 260-nucleotide ribosomal RNA is filed under the name uncultured bacterium. RNAcentral's name for it is "partial small subunit ribosomal RNA". It matches the Rfam family "Bacterial small subunit ribosomal RNA", at positions 27 to 288 of the family's 1533-position model. The record is from RNAcentral.
GGGAACAACGCUGGCGGCGUGCCUAACGCAUGCAAGUCGGGCGGGCCGGGCCUUCGGGGCCGGUCAGCGGCGGACGGGUGAGGAGCGCGUGGGCAACCUGCCCUGGAGUGGGGGACAACCCCGGGAAACCGGGGCUGAUACCGCGUGGGUCCGGCCGCCGGUGGGGCGGGCGGGCAAAGCCUUCGGGCGCUCCGGGAGGGGCCCGCGUCCGAUUAGCUGGUUGGUGGGGUGAUGGCCUACCAAGGCGACGACGGGUAGCC